Gymnodraco acuticeps is the source of this 751-nucleotide long non-coding RNA. RefSeq lists it as uncharacterized. Lineage: Eukaryota; Metazoa; Chordata; Actinopteri; Perciformes; Bathydraconidae. The transcript has 2 exons. The record is from RefSeq and is a predicted model, not a curated record.
UCUCCGUGAUGCCUGCUCAACUCAUCCGGGGAACAUAACUUGAACUCUGCCGUGUUUGUUGUGCUGGUGCCUUGUGGACUAUUCUUCAUGCUUAGAUCGGACUAUUGUGACUCUCUCCGCGUUUAAAACAGACGGUGCAUGAAUGCAGUUUUACGUAUGCACGUGGACGCUUUGGACAUACCUGGAGAAGGAAGAAAUGGGUCUUCGGAAUGAUGGGAGUUAAAGGCAAAAGCGGAGACUAGUGUUAAAACUAGUGGAGAAACGAUCAAGAUGCCACCUUGUCCCUCUGAUUAGAUGGCAUGUUAAGUCAGGAAGUAGCAUUAUUAGUGAUGAGUGGAGGGCAUACAGGAGAGUGCUGAGUAACAUGGGGUACAACCACUACACCAUAAACCACAGCAGGUGGUGUGUGAACCCCCAGAAGGCAGUCAUACCCAACAUAUAGAAAGAGCUUGGUCGACCGUCAAAGGACAUGUCCGUAGACUGAGAGGAAACCGUACAGAGAGUUUGUUGGAGGAACACCUCAAGGUCCUUGAAUGGUCUUGGCUUGUCUCUGCUCACCCUGAUGGACUGCUUGGACGCUUGUUCAAGAAUAUACAUAAAGCCUUUCCAGUCUGAGUACCAUUAUUUCUUACCAAGUCUUUAAUUCAUGUCUGAGAAAAGCUUUUAUAUUUAAAUAUGUGUAUCAGUCAUAAACAGUCAUUACUUUGAGUCCUAAUUUUCUUCAUGUGUGAAUAAAAUGUUUUGCUUGGUU